AACGAACGCUGGCGGCAUGCCUAAUACAUGCAAGUCGAACGAGACCUUCGGGUGCUUUCGCCCAUGGGUGCGUCACGGGACGGAACCGUCACUCAUGUUCGGAAUAACUCUCCGAAAGGGGUGCCAAUACCGGACAAUGUCUUCUACCCAAAGAUAUAUUGCCUUUGGAUGGGCCCGCGUUGGAUUAGCUAGUUCGUAGGGUAAAAGCCUACCACGGUGACCAUCCAUAGCUGGUUUGAGAGGAUGAUCAGCCACACUGGGACUGAGACACGGCCGGGACUCCUACGGGAGGCAGCAAUGCGGAAUAUAGGACAAUGGGCGAAAGCCUGAUGCAGCAAGGCCGCGUGAGUGAUGAAGGCCUGAGGGAUGUAAAGCUCUUUUAACCGGGAAGAUAAUGACGGUACCGGGAGAGUAAGCGCCGGCUAACUACGUG
Molecule: ribosomal RNA, 433 nt
Filed under: uncultured bacterium
Lineage: Bacteria
Description: partial 16S ribosomal RNA
Rfam family: Bacterial small subunit ribosomal RNA
Source: RNAcentral